RNAcentral lists this ribosomal RNA (305 nucleotides) under uncultured bacterium. RNAcentral's name for it is "bacterial SSU rRNA". It matches the Rfam family "Bacterial small subunit ribosomal RNA", at positions 333 to 655 of the family's 1533-position model. The record is from RNAcentral.
GUAAUCCUACGGGAGGCAGCAGUGGGGAAUAUUGCACAAUGGGGGAAACCCUGAUGCAGCGACGCCGCGUGAAGGAAGAAGUAUUUCGGUAUGUAAACUCCUAUCAGCAGGGAAGAAAAUGACGGUACCUGACUAAGAAGCCCCGGCUAACUACGUGCCAGCAGCCGCGGUAAUACGUAGGGGGCAAGCGUUAUCCGGAUUUACUGGGUGUAAAGGGAGCGUAGACGGCAUGGCAAGUCUGAAGUGAAAGCCCGGGGCUCAACCGCGGGACUGCUUUGGAAACUGUUAAGCUGGAGUGCAGGAGG